Long non-coding RNA from Salvelinus namaycush (lake trout), 930 nucleotides. RefSeq lists it as uncharacterized. The transcript is spliced from 3 exons. The record is from RefSeq and is a predicted model, not a curated record. NCBI's taxonomy places the organism in Eukaryota, Metazoa, Chordata, Actinopteri, Salmoniformes, Salmonidae.
UCUCUCUGUUCUAAAACGCGCUCUCUGCGCACCGGAGGUGUGCUUUGAUGUCUGCCUGACUGCGUGCACUGCUUGUUCACGUGAUGCGUUCGUGCUGCCGUGCGAAAUGGUUUUCAUCUGAGCCUGUGGUAGCUCGUGAGAUCUGGCUAUGUCGAUAGCUUUGUCCAGCGUUACCUCAGACCCAACAUUCAAAAGUUUCUCUCUCACUCGCGAAGAGCAAGUAGCUGCAUUUUCCCUCUUCUCCUCUGUCCUUCAGAGGACCCGUGAACAUUAGCUCCACAUGCUGUUUGAACUUACUCCAUGCACCGGAGGAACUGGGUAUAUCAGCAUAAACCACAGCCCCCUCCUGUACUCCCUGAUCACCCAUGACUGCGUGGCCAUGCACGUCUCCAACUCAAUCAAGACGACACAACAGUGGUAGGCCUGAUCACCAACGAGACCGCCUACAGGGAGGUGAGGGCCCUGGCGGAGUGGUGCCAGGAAAAUACCCUCUCCCUCAAAGUCAACAAACUGAAGGGGCUGGUCGUGGACUUCAGGAGACAGCAGAGAGAGCAGGCCCCAUCUAGUGUUCAUGCAUCUAACAGUCUAACUAUUUACCCCAUUGGCUUCUGUUUGAUCUUUAUUCACCUCUCCUGUCUGCACAGUCCUUUCAGCCUAUCCUUCUCUUAUUUGCUACGUGAGCGAGAGAGAGUGUGUGCGUGCAUGAGUGUGUGAUUCUUUGUGCCAGGGGUUAGGCACAGGUCGUUCCUCAACUGUAAACCCAUGCCAACUGUGGUGUAUGCAGCCAAGAGAUAGACACAUGACCACAUGGGGAUGGUAGUUCAGAGUGUACCAUUGUCCAAGAUACUUCAUCUUUUCAAAUCAAAGUUUAUUUGUCACGUGCACUGAAUACAACAGGUGUAGAACUUAGUGAAAUGCUUACUUACAGGC